This 626-nucleotide ribosomal RNA is filed under the name uncultured bacterium. RNAcentral describes it as "bacterial SSU rRNA". It matches the Rfam family "Bacterial small subunit ribosomal RNA", at positions 56 to 679 of the family's 1533-position model. The record is from RNAcentral.
UGCAGUCGAGCGGAUGAGGGAGCUUGCUCCUGGAGUUAGCGGCGGACGGGUGAGUAAAGCCUAGGAAUCUGCCUGGUAGUGGGGGACAACGACUCGAAAGGGUCGCUAAUACCGCAUACGUCCUACGGGAGAAAGUGGGGGAUCUUCGGACCUCACGCUAUCAGAUGAGCCUAGGUCGGAUUAGCUUGUAGGUGAGGUAAUGGCUCACCUAGGCAACGAUCCGUAACUGGUCUGAGAGGAUGAUCAGUCACACUGGAACUGAGACACGGUCCAGACUCCUACGGGAGGCAGCAGUGGGGAAUAUUGGACAAUGGGCGAAAGCCUGAUCCAGCCAUGCCGCGUGUGUGAAGAAGGUCUUCGGAUUGUAAAGCACUUUAAGUUGGGAGGAAGGGUUGUAGUUUAAUACGCUGCAACUUUGACGUUACCAACAGAAUAAGCACCGGCUAACUCUGUGCCAGCAGCCGCGGUAAUACAGAGGGUGCAAGCGUUAAUCGGAAUUACUGGGCGUAAAGCGCGCGUAGGCGGCUUGAUAAGAUGGGUGUGAAAUCCCCGGGCUUAACCUGGGAACUGCAUCCAUAACUGUCUGGCUAGAGUACAGUAGAGGGUGGUGGAAUUUCCUGUGUAGC